RNAcentral lists this long non-coding RNA (2083 nucleotides) under Mytilus galloprovincialis (Mediterranean mussel). Lineage: Eukaryota; Metazoa; Mollusca; Bivalvia; Mytilida; Mytilidae. The record is from RNAcentral.
GCGGUACAGACAUGGCGAAAGCAUAUAUAAAAGAUAAUUAUAUCACCGGAGAAAGUAAUAAUCGCGGAAAUAGUUGACUAAUUACAUAUGUGCAUAACAACUACACUAUAUUUACUGCAGCUAUAUUAUGGAAAAUGUCUGUCAAUUUUAAACCCGAUUUCUGUCUUAAUUUUUCCGACAAAACAUAAACUUGUAAUCUUUGUAUGUAUAAAGCAUGUACAUAGUCUAUAUUAUUAGUUCUAGUGAUGCAGUGUUCAUUCCAUGGAUCGGAGAAGGGAGGGUGUUUGUAGAGACUAUCACCUCUUGUUAUCAAUGGAUGGUAAACUCAGCCGAAGUUGAAAUCCAACAUAUGCACAUUAUUGACAGCAGUUAACUUGUUAAAAGUUACACAUCAGACAAAUAGUAUAGGUAAUACUAUUCACAAAACUUGUACGGCUUCUUAACAAUAGGUAUUGUGACACUCAAAAAGAAGGGCACAUUUAAGAAUGAAUAGAUUGUAUCAUCGGACCAACAGUGUUUUGCUUCACUGAGAGUAUUUUAUAAAAAGCGAUGCGAUAUCUUGAGUGAAGAAGUGGAUAUAAAAUUGGAUUGAUAGUCGAAUUUAACCAGAGAAUCCAAAAAGUAAACUCGAACAAUACAGAGUUAAUACAAUCCCCUCCACAAAUGGUACUUGUUGUAGCUAGAACCUCGUAUGGCAUCCAACAGAUUGCAAACAUAAACACGAAAAUAAAGAGAGAUCUAGCCGCCUUUCUGUCACGUUGUAAUGCUAUUUUCUGGUGGUUAUUGUCAGACUUACCGGUAGUAACAAUCAUUUCUUGUUCAUCCAUUACAAUUCUAGAUGGCCCUGUCUCUGAGGAAGAUGGUGGUGGACGGGGUGUCGAAAUUUGUCGAGAAUUUGGAAUUGAUGGCCAAAAUUUCUUACUUCUUCUUCGGAUGCUUAAAUAUACAAGUAAAUUGAAGGUAGAAACUGUAACAAAUGGAAAUAAAAAUUCGAUGCAUGCACCAAUCGAAAGGACGGUCACAUUACUGUUAUAAGGCAAAAAACAUUCACCAUCCGGUAUUACACGCCCCUUUGUCACCUCCCAAAGACAAAUGGCUGGAACAAAGUACAACGUUGGUAUAACCCAUGGAAUAAGAAUAAAUAUAACUAGUAAAGUCGUUGUUUGAUUGUUCCUUGCCCAAAGCGGAUAUGCAACUUGUAUAUAACGGUCCAAACUUAUGAUGAAUAUAUUUAUAGCCGAAGCCGCCGGUGUAAUGUAAUCAAUCACAAGCCAAAAGAGGCACAUUCCGUGCCCCAAAGACCACCUACCAGUCAACACGUAUGGUGCGUAAAAAGGAAUACAUAUAGCUCCUAUAAUCAAGUCCGAUAUUGCUAAGUUUAGGAUCAAAUAAUCACUGAAAGUUCGCAGAUUCUUCACUUUAAUGAACGCCAACAAAACAAUAAAAUUACCAAAAAUUGUAAGUAUUAUACAUAUUGCAAUCAAACUUCCAAUAAUAGCGGUAACCGGAACGGAAAACACCAAAGAAUCUGAACUGCUCAUCACUCCUUUAUUUACUGAUUCAAACGGAAUUGAAGAAUGUGUUGGUUUACAGUUAUCAUCUACACAUGUUGUCCUUCAGGUAUUGUUAUUUCAUGACAACAUUUGUUCGCGCACCUGUUGCUAUGUUCAACAACACAAAUUCCAACAGUCUUUUCAUAUUUAAUUUUACCUGAUUCAUAAAGAAAUAUACGACAGUUUCAGACAAAGGAAAUCCAUUCACUGGUUAGUUGCUGACAUUUCCCAAUAUCCAUCCAACAUAUAUGAAAUUCAUUUAUUCUAAGUCCAUUAAUGUUUGUUUUUAUUUAGAUAGCUUACAGAGAACGCACCUACAUGGAACCUACAGUCUGUGAUCUUUGAUAUAGUUUUCAUGUAAAUUUAUUCUCGUACGCUCCAUUAGACAGUAAUGAAAAAAAAAAUAUGAAUUAAUAUCCAACAUGUAAAAACUUUUAACCCUGACUGUUUAUAAUUAUUUCAUAGUCUUGGUUUGAUGAAUAAUUAAAUCUGUAAACAAACUAGUCAGUAUGAAACCUCCGAAUGUCAAA